Homo sapiens (human) is the source of this 697-nucleotide long non-coding RNA. The record is from Ensembl. NCBI's taxonomy places the organism in Eukaryota, Metazoa, Chordata, Mammalia, Primates, Hominidae.
GGGGCCUUUGCAACCUCCAUACUAGCGUUGGCCCCCUGGUCCCACUUUCUUUCAUCUUUUCUCAUUCCUUUGACUCCGCCGGACUUUGUAGCCCCCAUGGCCUGGUGUUGGGUCUGAUCACCCCAAUAUUCAUGGCACCCAACAUGGGGCGACAAAGACCACAGUGAAGGAACGCUAGAGCAUGUGAAAGCGGAGGAUGCAUCGUCAGAGGACACCCAGGGACGACUGAAAGAAGCUCGGAGUCAACAAUGAGCCCUAUACUUGGAGUAAAACAACCCCUUCCCCAGCAGGAGUCAAGAAUGAGCCUCAGGCCUCUUCAUCUCAAGCUGAAAAGGACAGAGGGAGCCAUAGACAAUACAACUAACAACCUCCAAAAACGCACAGCCUCACCACCACUAUCUUGAGUCAGCCAGGACUAAUCACACCCUGCCCUUCAUUAUGUCUGUCCCCAUAAGCCCCAAACUCAAAGGUUAUCCUUCAUAACCCAUACACUGAUCCCCAUAAUGCUCUGCAUGCUCCCUAACCUGCACCAAUCUCCCAUAUUCCUAACCCUUACACUGUGAUUUCUGGAAUAUGGAGCCCAAUAUCAGCGAAACUUAAGUUAUAUUAAGUUUUAUUAAAAUGUAAGUUUUAGAACUUAAAACUUUAAGUGUAUUAAAACUCAGGUUUUAUUUACCUAAUAAAACUUAACUUUAAA